This 1521-nucleotide ribosomal RNA is filed under the name Halticoperla viridens. Its description in RNAcentral is "partial 28S ribosomal RNA". It matches the Rfam family "Eukaryotic large subunit ribosomal RNA", at positions 24 to 1873 of the family's 3401-position model. Lineage: Eukaryota; Metazoa; Arthropoda; Insecta; Plecoptera; Notonemouridae. The record is from RNAcentral.
UCCCGGGUAAUUUAAGCAUAUUAAUAAGCGGAGGAAAAGAAACUAACUAGGAUUCCCUCAGUAGCUGCGAGCGAACAGGGACGAGCCCAGCACUGAAUCCUGCGUGCCGUGCGCACGUUUGGAAAUGUAGUGUUUGGGAGGAUCCGAUCAUCUCGCGCGAGCGCUCCAGUCCAAGUCCAUCUUGAAAGCGGCCACAGCCCACAGAGGGUGCCAGGCCCGUAGGACGGUGCGGUGUCUCGCGCGAAAGGAUCUCUCNNNNNNNNNNNNNNNNNNNNNNNNNNNNNNNNNNNNNNNNNNNNNNNNNNCGCGACCCGUUGGGUGCGCGUCCAAGGCCCGCGCGUGAAGCCGACCUCGGCCGCGGGCGUCGUCACUCGUGGCGUCGCCCGCGCGCCGUAUCGACCGCGCGGUGUCCCGACGCGCUUCGCCCGACGGUAAACACGGACGACGCGAAAAGAAGCCGCCGCCUCGCAAGGGGUGGCGGCCGGUCCUCGAUUGGACACGCGUCGCGUCUGCGGCGCUCUAUCUAGAGCAUCAUCCGACCCGUCUUGAAACACGGACCAAGGAGUCUAACAUGUGCGCGAGUCAUUGGGACCGCACUAAACCCAGAGGCGGAAUGAAAGUGAAUGUCGGCCGCCUCGGCGGUCGGCAGAGGGGAGAUGGCGGCCGUCCUAGCGCCGUGCCGCCCGCAUCCCCGGGGCGUCUCGUUGUCAUUGCGACACAGCAGGCGCACCCAGAGCGUACACGUUGGGACCCGAAAGAUGGUGAACUAUGCCUGGCCAGGUCGAAGUCAGGGGAAACCUGGCACUCGGAGUUUUGACGAAACAGAGCGUCGGUCGUCGUCCCGCAAGGGGCGGCGCGCCGGUCGCGACCACCAGUCUCAUCUGGUAAAGCGAAUGAUUAGAGGCCUUGGGGCCGAAACGACCUCAACCUAUUCUCAAACUUUAAAUGGGUGAGACGUUCGACUUGCUUAAAAACCAUGUUGAAGUCGAGAUGCCCGGAUGAACGAGCGCCAAGUGGGCCAAUUUUGGUAAGCAGAACUGGUGCUGUGGGAUGAACCAAACGUGCGAGUUAAGGCGCCUAAAUCGAUGCUCAUGGGAUACCAUGAAAGGCGUUGGUUGCUUAAGACAGCAGGACGGUGGCGAUGUUGAUGUGCUGUCGUAAAUAACAAACUAAAAAUACAGUUCCUGUUUGACCACAUCGGGCGAAAGGGAAUCCGGUUCCUAUUCCGGAACCCGGCUGCGGAACCGACUUGCGGGCCACGCUGCAGCGAUGCAGUCGACUCGUCGGGGUAACCCAACAGGACCCGGAGACGCCGUCGGAUGAUCGAGGCAGAGUUUUCUGUUCUGUAUGAGCGUUCGAGUUCCCUGGAAUCGCCUAGCGCGGAGAUAGGGUUUGGAACGCGAAGAGCACCGCACUUGCGGCGGUGUCUCGAUCGAUCCCUCGGACCUUGAAAAUCCGGGAGAGGGCCACGUGGAGGUGUCGCGCCGGUUCGUACCCAUAUCCGCAGCAGGUCUCCAAGGU